UACGUAGGUGGCAAGCGUCAUCCGGAAUUAUUGGGCGUAAAGCGCGCGUAGGCGGUUUCUUAAGUCUGAUGUGAAAGCCCGCGGCUCAACCGCGGAGGGUCAUUGGAAACUGGGGAGCUUGAGUGCAGGAGAGGAGAGUGGAAUUCCACGUGUAGCGGUGAAAUGCGUAGAGAUGUGGAGGAACACCAGUGGCGAAAGCGGCUCUCUGGCCUGUCACUGACGCUGAGGCGCGAAAGCGUGGGGAGCAAACAGG
This 253-nucleotide ribosomal RNA is filed under the name uncultured bacterium. RNAcentral describes it as "partial 16S ribosomal RNA". It matches the Rfam family "Bacterial small subunit ribosomal RNA", at positions 524 to 776 of the family's 1533-position model. The record is from RNAcentral.